This 491-nucleotide ribosomal RNA is filed under the name uncultured bacterium. Its description in RNAcentral is "partial 16S ribosomal RNA". It matches the Rfam family "Bacterial small subunit ribosomal RNA", at positions 29 to 507 of the family's 1533-position model. The record is from RNAcentral.
AGUGAACGCUGGCGGUAGGCCUAACACAUGCAAGUCGAACGGCAGCACAGUAAGAGCUUGCUCUUACGGGUGCCGAGUGGCGGACGGGUGAGGAAUACAUCGGAAUCUACUUUUUCGUGGGGGAUAACGUAGGGAAACUUACGCUAAUACCGCAUACGACCUACGGGUGAAAGCAGGGGAUCUUCGGACCUUGCGCGAUUGAAUGAGCCGAUGUCGGAUUAGCUAGUUGGCGGGGUAAAGGCCCACCAAGGCGACGAUCCGUAGCUGGUCUGAGAGGAUGAUCAGCCACACUGAACUGAGACACGGUCCAGACUCCUACGGGAGGCAGCAGUGGGGAAUAUUGGACAAUGGGCGCAAGCCUGAUCCAGCCAUACCGCGUGGGUGAAGAAGGCCUUCGGGUUGUAAAGCCCUUUUGUUGGGAAAGAAAAGCAGCAGGUUAAUACCCCGCUGUUCUGACGGUACCCAAAGAAUAAGCACCGGCUAACUUCGUG